Molecule: ribosomal RNA, 433 nt
Filed under: uncultured bacterium
Lineage: Bacteria
Description: partial 16S ribosomal RNA
Rfam family: Bacterial small subunit ribosomal RNA
Source: RNAcentral
AACGAACGCUGGCGGCAUGCCUAACACAUGCAAGUCGAACGAGACCUUCGGGUCUAGUGGCGCACGGGUGCGUAACGCGUGGGAACCUGCCCUUAGGUUCGGAAUAACUCCCCGAAAGGGGUGCUAAUACCGGAUAAUGUCUUCGGACCAAAGAUUUAUCGCCUUUGGAUGGGCCCGCGUUGGAUUAGCUAGUUGGUAGGGUAAAAGCCUACCAAGGCGACGAUCCAUAGAUGGGCUGAGAGGAUGAUCAGCCACACUGGGACGGAGACACGGCCCAGACUCCUACGGGAGGCAGCAGUGGGGAAUAUUGGAAAAUGGGCGAAAGCCUGAUCCAGCAAGGCCGGGUGAGUGAUGAAGGCCUUAGGGUUGUAAAGCGCUUUUACCCGGGAUGAUAAUGACAGUACCGGGAGAAUAAGCGCCGGCUAACUCCGUG